Molecule: ribosomal RNA, 486 nt
Filed under: uncultured bacterium
Lineage: Bacteria
Description: bacterial SSU rRNA
Rfam family: Bacterial small subunit ribosomal RNA
Source: RNAcentral
GAACGCUGGCGGCAUGCCUAACACAUGCAAGUCGAACGGCAGCACAGCAGUAGCAAUACGUGUGGGUGGCGAGUGGCGGACGGGUGAGGAAUACGUCGGAAUCUGCCCAGUCGUGGGGAUAACUAGCCGAAAGGUUAGCUAAUACCGCAUACGACCGAGAGGUGAAAGCGGGGGACCGCAAGGCCUCACGCGAUUGGAUGAGCCGACGUCGGAUUAGCUAGUUGGCGGGUAAAGGCCCACCAAGGCGACGAUCCGUAGCUGGUCUGAGAGGAUGAUCAGCCACACUGGAACUGAGACACGGUCCAGACUCCUACGGGAGGCAGCAGUGGGGAAUAUUGGACAAUGGGCGCAAGCCUGAUCCAGCAAUGCCGCGUGUGUGAAGAAGGCCUUCGGGUUGUAAAGCACUUUUAUCAGGAACGAAAAGCGUUGGAUUAAUACUCUGACGUGCUGACGGUACCUGAGGAAUAAGCACCGGCUAACUUCGUG